Molecule: ribosomal RNA, 253 nt
Filed under: uncultured bacterium
Lineage: Bacteria
Description: partial 16S ribosomal RNA
Rfam family: Bacterial small subunit ribosomal RNA
Source: RNAcentral
UACGUAGGUGGCAAGCGUUGUCCGGAAUCAUUGGGCGUAAAGAGCGUGUAGGCGGCCCGAUAAGUCCGCUGUGAAAGUCCAGGGCUCAACCCUGGGAUGCCGGUGGAUACUGUCGGGCUCGAGUCCGGAAGAGGAGUGUGGAAUUCCUGGUGUAGCGGUGAAAUGCGCAGAUAUCAGGAGGAACACCAAUGGCGAAGGCAGCACUCUGGGACGUGACUGACGCUGAGACGCGAAAGCGUGGGGAGCAAACAGG